AGAGUUUGAUCAUGGCUCAGGACGAACGCUGGCGGCGUGCUUAACACAUGCAAGUCGAACGAGAUUUAGUGAGUAGCAAUACUCACGAAGAUCUAGUGGCGAACGGGUGCGUAACACGUGAGGAACUUGUCCCGGUCUCUGGGAUAACAGUUGGAAACGACUGCUAAUACCGGAUGACGUCGGAACUUCGCAUGGAGUACUGACGAAAGGGUUACUGGAUCGGGAGAGCCUCGCGGCCUAUCAGCUUGUUGGUGGGGUAAUGGCCUACCAAGGCAUCGACGGGUAGCUGGUCUGAGAGGAUGAUCAGCCACACUGGGACUGAGACACGGCCCAGACUCCUACGGGAGGCAGCAGUGGGGAAUCUUGCACAAUGGGCGAAAGCCUGAUGCAGCAACGCCGCGUGCGGGAAGAAGGCCCUCGGGUUGUAAACCGCUUUCAGAAGGAACGAAACUGACGGUACUUUCAGAAGAAGGUGCGGCCAACUACGUGCCAGCAGCCGCGGUGACACGUAGGCACCAAGCGUUGUCCGGAUUUAUUGGGCGUAAAGAGCUCGUAGGCGGUUCAGUAAGUCGGGUGUGAAAACUUUGGGCUUAACCCAAAGCGUGCAUCCGAUACUGCUGUGACUUGAGUACGGUAGGGGAGCGGGGAAUCCCUAGUGUAGCGGUGAAAUGCGCAGAUAUUAGGAGGAACACCGGUGGCGAAGGCGCCGCUCUGGGCCGAAACUGACGCUGAGGAGCGAAAGCAUGGGUAGCAAACAGGAUUAGAUACCCUAGUAGUCC
RNAcentral lists this ribosomal RNA (779 nucleotides) under uncultured bacterium. RNAcentral describes it as "bacterial SSU rRNA". It matches the Rfam family "Bacterial small subunit ribosomal RNA", at positions 8 to 796 of the family's 1533-position model. The record is from RNAcentral.